AUAGGAUGGGCCUGCGGCGUAUCAGGUUGUAGGGGGUGUAAAGUACCCUCUAGCCAUCUACGCGUACGGGUGUUGGGAGACAUAGCCCGGAGAUGGAUUCUGAGACACGAAUCCAGACCCUACGGGGUGCAGCAGGCGCGAAAACUUGACAAUGCGAGCAAUCGUGAUCAGGGAACUCCAAGUGGCUGGGGUAAGACCCAGUCUUUUCAUAACUCUUCAAAGGUUGUAGAAUAAGGGGUGGGUAAGGACGGUGCCAGCCGCCGCGGUAAUACCGGCGCCUCAAGUGGUAGUCGCUUUUAUUGGGCCUAAAACGUCCGUAGCCGGUUUGGUACAUUCGUGGGUAAAUCAACUCGCUCAACGAGUUGAAUUCUGCGAGGACGGCCAAACUUGGGACCGGGAGAGGUGUGGGGUACUCUCAGGGUAGGGGUAAAAUCCUGUCAUCCUGAGAGGACCACCUGUUGCGAAGGCGCCACACUAGAACGGAUCCGACGGUCAGGGACGAAGCCUAGGGGCACGAACCGGAUUAGAUACCCGGGUAGUCCUAGGUGUAAACGCUGUGGACUUGAUGUUGGAGAAGCUCCGAGCUUCUUCAGUGUCGAAGCGAAGGUGAUAAGUCCACUGCCUGGGAAGUACGGUCGCAAGGCUGAAACUUAAAGGAAUUGGCGGGGGAGCACCGCAACCUGAGGAUUGUGCGGUUUAAUUGGACUCAACGCCGGGA
RNAcentral lists this ribosomal RNA (718 nucleotides) under uncultured Candidatus Poseidoniales archaeon. RNAcentral's name for it is "bacterial SSU rRNA". It matches the Rfam family "Archaeal small subunit ribosomal RNA", at positions 204 to 923 of the family's 1478-position model. Lineage: Archaea; Methanobacteriati; Thermoplasmatota; Candidatus Poseidoniia; Candidatus Poseidoniales. The record is from RNAcentral.